AUUUAAGUAGUUUAAAGUAAAAUUUUAAUUUGUGAUAUUAAAGAUAUUUAGUUAAUCUUAAAUA
This 64-nucleotide transfer RNA is filed under the name Cucujoidea sp. 5 KM-2017. RNAcentral describes it as "tRNA-His". Lineage: Eukaryota; Metazoa; Arthropoda; Insecta; Coleoptera. The record is from RNAcentral.